AGAGUUUGAUCCUGGUUCAGGACGAACGCUGGCGGCGUGCCUAACACAUGCAAGUCGAACGAUUCGAUAUUCGAACUUCGAUCUUCGAAUUUCGAAUAUCGAAUAGUGGCGGACGGGUGAGUAACGCGUGGGUAACCUACCCAUAAAGUCGGGACAACCCUUGGAAACGAGGGCUAAUACCGGAUAAGCUUAGGGAGUGGCAUCACUCAUUAAGGAAAGGCGGCCUCUGAGUAUGCUGCCGAUUAUGGAUGGACCCGCGUCUGAUUAGCUGAUUGGUGGGGUAAAGGCCUACCAAGGCGACGAUCAGUAGCCGGCCUGAGAGGGUGAACGGCCACACUGGGACUGAGACACGGCCCAGACUCCUACGGGAGGCAGCAGUGGGGAAUCUUCCGCAAUGGACGAACGUCUGACGGAGCAACGCCGCGUGUAUGAAGAAGGUGCUUCGGAUUGUAAAGUACUGUCUAUGGGGAAGAAUGACUGGUUCAGGAAUAUUGAAUCAGAAUGACGGUACCAAGAGUAAGGGCCGGGGCUUAUCACCGU
Molecule: ribosomal RNA, 540 nt
Filed under: uncultured Desulfosporosinus sp.
Lineage: Bacteria; Bacillati; Bacillota; Clostridia; Eubacteriales; Desulfitobacteriaceae
Description: bacterial SSU rRNA
Rfam family: Bacterial small subunit ribosomal RNA
Source: RNAcentral